Molecule: long non-coding RNA, 364 nt
Organism: Tachysurus fulvidraco (yellow catfish)
Lineage: Eukaryota; Metazoa; Chordata; Actinopteri; Siluriformes; Bagridae
Exons: 3
Source: RefSeq, a predicted model, not a curated record
AGAUGCCUCAUCUGAUUUGUUAUUGAGGCUGUGUGAUGAUUUCCUCUCGUCUUUCUAAUAAGGGGGCUGAAUGAGGGGAUACACUUCUCUCAGUCUCUCUGGGCGAGUGGAGGUGAACACAUCGUGUACAGCGAGGAGGGAGAUGGAAAUCUGUCUGACUUUAAUUCUUCUCUCAUCCACACUCACACUCACAGCAGCUGACAAUGUGAGGUUGGUGAAUGGUGGAAGUCGCUGUGCUGGGACAGUGGAGGUUCUUCAUGAUGGACAGUGGGGAACAGUGUGUGGUUAUAACUGGGAUAUGAACGAUGCUGCAGUGGUGUGUAGAGAGCUGCGCUGUGGGGAGCCUGUAGAUAUUCGUUAUUGG